UACAGAGGGUGCAAGCGUUGUUCGGAAUUAUUGGGCGUAAAGCGCGUGUAGGCGGCUUUGCAAGUCGGGUGUGAAAGCCCUCAGCUCAACUGAGGAAGUGCGCCCGAAACUGCAGAGCUUGAGUGCCGGAGAGGGUGGCGGAAUUCCCCAAGUAGAGGUGAAAUUCGUAGAUAUCGGGAGGAACACCGGUGGCGAAGGCGGCGACCUGGGUAGAUACUGACGCUGAGGUGCGAAAGCGUGGGGAGCAAACAGG
RNAcentral lists this ribosomal RNA (253 nucleotides) under uncultured bacterium. Its description in RNAcentral is "partial 16S ribosomal RNA". It matches the Rfam family "Bacterial small subunit ribosomal RNA", at positions 524 to 776 of the family's 1533-position model. The record is from RNAcentral.